Molecule: ribosomal RNA, 253 nt
Filed under: uncultured bacterium
Lineage: Bacteria
Description: partial 16S ribosomal RNA
Rfam family: Bacterial small subunit ribosomal RNA
Source: RNAcentral
UACGUAGGUGACCAGCGUUGUCCGGAUUUACUGGGCGUAAAGAGCGCGCAGGCGGUCGUUCAAGUCGAGUGUGAAAGCCCCCGGCUCAACUGGGGAGGGUCAUUCGAUACUGAUCGACUUGAAGGCAGGAGAGGGAAGUGGAAUUCCCGGUGUAGUGGUGAAAUGCGUAGAUAUCGGGAGGAACACCAGUGGCGAAGGCGACUGCCUGGCCUGUUCUUGACGCUGAGGCGCGAAAGCUAGGGGAGCAAACGGG